This 450-nucleotide ribosomal RNA is filed under the name uncultured bacterium. RNAcentral describes it as "bacterial SSU rRNA". It matches the Rfam family "Bacterial small subunit ribosomal RNA", at positions 29 to 524 of the family's 1533-position model. The record is from RNAcentral.
AACGAACGCUGGCGGCAUGCCUAACACAUGCAAGUCGAACGAGACCUUCGGGUCUAGUGGCGCACGGGUGCGUAACGCGUGGGAACCUGCCUUUAGGUUCGGAAUAACUCAGAGAAAUUUGAGCUAAUACCGGAUAAUGUCUUCGGACCAAAGAUUUAUCGCCUUUAGAUGGGCCCGCGUAAGAUUAGCUAGUUGGUGGGGUAAAGGCCUACCAAGGCGACGAUCUUUAGCUGGUCUGAGAGGAUGAUCAGCCACACUGGGACUGAGACACGGCCCAGACUCCUACGGGAGGCAGCAGUGAGGAAUAUUGGACAAUGGGCGCAAGCCUGAUCCAGCCAUGCCGCGUGAGUGAAGAAGGCCUUCGGGUUGUAAAGCUCUUUCAGAUGUGAAGAUAAUGACGGUAGCAUCAGAAGAAGCCCCGGCUAAAUUCGUGCCAGCAGCCGCGGUAAU